Long non-coding RNA from Coregonus clupeaformis (lake whitefish), 237 nucleotides. RefSeq lists it as uncharacterized. The record is from RefSeq and is a predicted model, not a curated record. The transcript has 3 exons. NCBI's taxonomy places the organism in Eukaryota, Metazoa, Chordata, Actinopteri, Salmoniformes, Salmonidae.
CAAACCUCAGUUAUGACUCCAGCUGUAGGAAUCACAGUGAUUGUUCUGGUUCUCAUACUGGCUUCAUGUCUCUUUGGCUUCAUGUGGUUAAGGAAGAAAUCAUUCAAAACCACCUCUGACACAAGACACACAGCAGACAUGAGACAGGGAGACUCUAGUCCAGUGUAUGACAACGUCUCAGGCAUGGCCAUGACCCCUACUGCAGUACAGAGAGUGGACACAGACGAGCAGGAUGAC